CAGUAGCCGCGGGAAUACGAAGGGGGCUAGCGUUGUUCGGAUUUACUGGGCGUAAAGGGUGCGUAGGCGGAUUGUUAAGUCAGGGGUGAAAUCCCGAGGCUCAACCUCGGAACUGCCUUUGAUACUGGCGAUCUUGAGUCCGGGAGAGGUGAGUGGAACUGCGAGUGUAGAGGUGAAAUUCGUAGAUGUUCGCAAGAACACCGGUGGCGAAGGCGGCUCACUGGCCCGGUACUGACGCUGAGGAGCGAAAGCGUGGGGAGCGAACAGGAUUAGAGACCCCAGUAGUCCCUGUCUCUUAUAC
RNAcentral lists this ribosomal RNA (301 nucleotides) under uncultured bacterium. RNAcentral describes it as "partial 16S ribosomal RNA". It matches the Rfam family "Bacterial small subunit ribosomal RNA", at positions 509 to 807 of the family's 1533-position model. The record is from RNAcentral.